GUGGUUUUCCCCUCCCUUCUCUUGAAACCAACUGUUUUCGUAGCAGAACAAGUAUACCACCUCGCCUUCCACUCUUCCCAUUUAAAGGUCCACCUCAUCCCGUGCCAACCCGUCUCUCUCCCUACCCCGUCCGUCCGUCCGUCGUCAUCAUCAACAAUCCAUAUCCAAAAACUAACAACAUUAAAUCACAGAGAUCCAAUAUUUCACAUCUCUUGUCUUCUUUUACCGCCUCAAAGGUUUCUUUUUGGACACAGGAAACAGCAAAAACAACGCCACGCUGGGAUAUAUAUUAUCGGUGUUGCCCAAAUACCAUCAGCCCGUACAGAAGCAUCCCAAAACCCAAAAAAAAGUUCUGUUUCGUCGUCGUUGUUGUAGGUUUUUUACUCCUAUCUAUGUUUGUAUCCCCAGUUUCAGGUCCCAAGAGUUUCUCUUGAAUACCAGAUCACAGUUUUCUUUAAUUUACCUGAGCCCCAAAAGUUGAAUUUUUUUUUUCUUCAUAAAUUGGGGUUGAAGGGUAGUUGACUGACAUACAAAUGGGGAUCGAGAGAAAUGUAAGCAAACCAAAAGGUAAAGUGUACGGCGAGUCUAAGAAGAAUAGGCGAAAGCAGAAGAAAACAACAGUAGUGGUUCAGAAGCUUUAUGAAACUUGCAAGGAAGUAUUUUCCGAUUGUGGCCCUGGUGUUGUACCUUCACCCGAUAAAGUUGAACGGCUUAAGGUUGUUUUAGAUAGCAUGACUGAAGUAGAUGUAGGCCUGAGGCCAGAUAUGACAUUUUUCAAAGCAACAACUGGCGGAGAAAUCCCCAGAAUCACGUAUUUACACCUCUAUGCAUGCGAAAAGUUCUCGAUUGGAAUCUUCUGUUUGCCGCCCACGGGUGUCAUCCCGCUUCAUAAUCAUCCUGGAAUGACAGUUUUUAGCAAGCUUCUUUUCGGAACCAUGCACAUCAAGUCAUAUGACUGGGUGGGUAACGGACCUGAUGCCAUGGCUCUGAAUGCUGAUCCAUUAGAAGAGCAUCCAUCAAGAGUACGGUUGGCGAAAGUGAAGGUCGACUCUGAGUUUACUGCUCCAUGCAACACUUCGAUUCUGUACCCUGCUGAUGGCGGAAACAUGCAUUGCUUCAAAGCGAGGACUCCAUGUGCGGUACUUGAUGUGCUUGGACCGCCAUAUUGUGAUCCCGAGGGCCGCCACUGUCAAUACUACAUGGACUUCCCAUUCACAAGGUUCUCAGUCGUCAACAGCAUAUCAGUGCCUGUGGAAGAGAGGGAUGGGUAUGCAUGGCUUGAAGAGAGGGACAGACCUAAGGAUGUAACUGUAGUUGGGGAAGUGUACAGCGGGCCAAAGAUAGUGGAGAAGUGAGAUGUCUGUCCCCAGUAGCAUACUUUCUGACCGGUUGAUCCAUUGGAGCAGAGUGCAACAUUUUGAUGUGUACAUACUAAGAUAGAGAGCUUGAAAGAAAAAAUGAAAUGAUUUUCCAUAGUGCAGCACAAGCAGUUCUGAUUUUAGAAGAAGAAAGAUGAUAACACGGAAAUCGGCUGACGGAUAAAUAAUAUAUUCCGAGCGCGUUCUGGUUUUUCUUUCUAGUUCUGAUGCAGAAAUACGUACGUAGUACUUGCGUAUGAAAAGUCGGUCCCGUUUGUUUGGUACUAGCUCCUCGCCAACCUUUGCGCGACUUGCAUCCCAAAGUCCCUCCCUGGUCCAGUUUCCAACUUGGCAAAAUCUCACGGGAUGCCAUCUUCAUUGGUUCCAUUUUCUUGCUUUCUCCCGGUACCAACAAAGUCCUAUUAUUAAUUAUUAUCCCCGCCUGUGGGACGUAUUAAUUGGCAUAGCUCUCUCUUGUUCAAAGAACUUCGGUCUGUCAAGUUUUGAUAUCUUAGCAUGAGGAUGGUAAUAGGGACAGACCCUUUGUCAUUUGGUAACAUCAUGUUACUUUUUUUUUUUUGGGGCCUAUUAUAUGUUUGGCGCAA
Coffea arabica (coffee) is the source of this 1963-nucleotide non-coding RNA. The record is from RefSeq and is a predicted model, not a curated record. Lineage: Eukaryota; Viridiplantae; Streptophyta; Magnoliopsida; Gentianales; Rubiaceae.